This 119-nucleotide ribosomal RNA is filed under the name Pteropus alecto (black flying fox). The record is from RNAcentral. Lineage: Eukaryota; Metazoa; Chordata; Mammalia; Chiroptera; Pteropodidae. RNAcentral also lists the same sequence under 1 other name.
GUCUAUGUCCAUGCCACCCUGAACAAGCCCAAUCCUGUCUGAUCUCGGAAGCUAAGCAGGGUCGGGCCUGGUUAGUACUUGGAUGGGAGACCACCUGGGAAGACCAAGUGCUGUAGGUG